RNAcentral lists this long non-coding RNA (556 nucleotides) under Gossypium raimondii (Peruvian cotton). Its description in RNAcentral is "long non-coding RNA (GRAI_LNC000533)". Lineage: Eukaryota; Viridiplantae; Streptophyta; Magnoliopsida; Malvales; Malvaceae. The record is from RNAcentral.
AGGGGAGAGAUUGGUGGAGGAAAUUAAGGGUUUUGAUGAGAGGGGGGAGUGUGUGCCCUUUGUAUUCCAAUAGUGAGAAUUCGAUUGGGGGAGGGUGUUUGUGCCGAAUUUAGUCACUUAGCACUAAAGGUUUUCGAUUUUGUUUUUUUUUUUUGGAGUUUUUCUCUCAGUUUGCUUUGAUUUCGGCGAGUUUUGAGUUUCAUGUUUUAGUCUUGGUGCCAAAUUUUUGCCUAGUUUUUAGAAGUACAUCUCGGGAGUGAUCAUUUUCCUUUUCUUUUCUGCUUUUUUCCUCUCUUUUUCCCCCAUUGCUGAAUCCUCAUUUUACUUUCUUUUCCUUUUCUUUUUUCUUUUGGCCGAACCUUUCUUUUCUUCUAUUUUUUCUUCUUUGGCCGAAUAAUCUUUUUGAUUUCUUCGAUUUGUCUCUGUCAGGUUUUCUCCUUUCUUAUCUUCUAGCCGAAUAUUACCCAAUCAUUGUAUCGUACUCUAUGUUGAUCCUCUCUGCUGCUUCUUGUCGUUUCUGUGCUACAAGCUUCUGACUUUCGGUAUGUGGUUUUAC